Non-coding RNA from Phasianus colchicus (ring-necked pheasant), 9542 nucleotides. NCBI's taxonomy places the organism in Eukaryota, Metazoa, Chordata, Aves, Galliformes, Phasianidae. The record is from RefSeq and is a predicted model, not a curated record.
UGAUCCUUUUCAACCCAGGCCAUUCUAUGAUUCUAUAAUUAAAAAUGCACUUUUAUACCCAGGAGUGGAUUCAUUGCUCAUGGCUCUGCAAAUUUCCCCCUUGGUGAUGCUUGGCGAAGCAGAACUAAAAAAUCAGCAUUUCUGCACACCGACCGCAUGGUUGCUAAGUUGGCAGUUUGCUUGUGAUAUGUGUGGGUGCAUCGCUUUUAUGUAAGCACAUAAUUUGUUGGUACACAGAUAAGUUGUGCUUUUGCAGGCUAGCUCUUCAUUAAAAACUAGUACAGCUUAAAUCUAGAGCAUGUCUAAUCUGGGCAAGCUGUGAAUGACUCACUGCCAUACCUGCAGAUAGAUUAUCAGCUGAGAAAUUAGAGCUUGUUUCCCCUUCUCUUUGGUGGCUGCUUAUUUAAUUUUUCCCAACAAGUGCUAUGUGUGAUCAUGCUCAGCAGGGGAUAUUUCUGUGAGUUUGGUGUUCCCAGUGCCUUUAUCACCCUGCUAUCCUGCUUACUAAAUGCUUAAUUCUAGAGAUGCAGGCAGAUACGUACACCUCUAAGGUUUUUGAUGGGAAGGAGAUAGGAUGUUAUUGUUUGCUUCAGUUUUUUGCUUCUCUUUUUUCUUUUUUUUUAAAUUAACCACAGAAAUGUGGUAAAUGCCUAUUACUAGCCCUGCCUAGAGACAACAGUUUCAUCAACCUUAUCCUUUUGCUCUUAGUGUACUGCAGCUAGAAAACAAAUAGUGGUCAGUGGGAAAGGAAUAACCUAAAUAAUAGUCUGAGUAACUAGAACAAAAUAUAAAAGCGAACAACUUACAAAGCUUAUGGCAAAGAUAAGGCUGAGAGGCUGUUCAGCCUGGAGAAAACAGAGGGGGGAUUUUAUCAAUGCUUAUACGUUUGUGAUGGGUGGGAGUCAAGUGGGCAGGGCCGGGUUCUUUGCAGUGAUGCCCAGCAAGGGGCAAUGGGCACAAACUGGAACACAGGAAACUCCAUACAAACACAAGGAAGAAAACUUCUUUGAGGGUGACAGAGCCUUGGAAUAGGCCGCCCAGAGUGCUGGUGGGGUCUGCUUCUCUGGAGAUACUCAGGACCUGCCUGGACACUUUCCUGUGCAACCUGCUGUAGGGAAGUUGCUUUAGCAGCGGGGUUGCGCCCAAUGAUCUCCGGUUGUCCCUUCCAGCCCCUGCAAUUCUGUGAUUCUGUGGGUUUCUUUAGGGACUGGUGAUUUUUCUCCAUGUUUUAUCCUUUAUGGGCAAGUGCUGCUGUUGCUAAACCAGGUAGCACUUGUCAUUUUCAAGGACUCAAAGCCUGUUUCAGAGGAAACACAUCCAUACAUUGCGAAACCACAUUCAUGAAUGCUGCUGUUCUUUUUUUAGUGGAAAAUGUAUCGAAGCAAAUUUGCAGUUCAGCUUUCACAAAUGUCUAAAAUAUGUGUUUGCUUGUAUUUAAUGGCAAGAAUGGAAUGAGCUUAGUUUCAGAUCUAGAAUUAGGAUGCCUAAAUGCAAAUGAAUCAGAUUUCAAAGAUGAGGUCUGACAGAUUUCUGUGCCUCUCUGGAGGCGUGUGUGACUUGCUCUCCCAGAUAACUAUAGAACAUAGACUUAGAUAUCCAGAACACAGAGUCAGGAAAAGAGAUUGCCAGUGAAGAGCUGAAAGGUGAGUGAAAAACUGUGUUCAUCCUUGGGAAGAAAUUCUGGAUGCGAUGAAGAAGUGGAAGGUUCAUCAGCCCAGACCUGAGUCUAAGCCCAUCUCAAAGUAAUCUUCAGUGGUGUACUGUGAGUGGCAUCUGAUAUUUUUGUGUGUCAUAAUGGUUUCAAAUACUGGAUGUAUAAAUUGAGUUAAGAUAAUAAGUUGUCUUGUUCUGAGCAGGCUACCAUUGCUUGCUACCACAAAAUUGGCCUCUUUUUCCUAAAAGGCUGUUUUCUAAGUUCAGCUCAUCAAGUGCACUCAUGGAAAGGAGAACUAUCCAAAGAGCCAGUGAUGGGGAACAGCCAAAUUCAGCCUCUGAGACAUAGAGAUCUUUAAUGGCAACAAAUACAGUAGCUCUUGGAGCUGGCUGUCUGUGAGUAUAGAACUACAGCAGUAAUAAUUCUGAGGCACAAAUCCUCAAGCUGUAUCUGAUCCAGAAGUUCAACAACAGGACACCAAGCAUACGGUGUGGCAUCUUCCUCAUAGCUUCAGAGGGCCACAAUACAUAUCUGAGAGACAGAGCAGCUUGCAUCUUGCCAAAGCACUUCUGGUCAUGGAUGUACCAAAAGGCUACAACUUCUCUUGGCUAUUCAUAGCCAGACAAGCUGUGAGCUCAGCCUAGUGAAACUGUAAGAAUAGACGCAGGGCUUCUUGAGUGAAGAAUAUACACAGAGCUAGCUGCACAAUUGUGCUUUGCAGCCUGCUCCAGUGAGAUUUUCCAGCACACCCCUCCUGUGCCAGCUGAGAAGGUUUGUGGUUACCCUAUUGGCUUUGGUGAAGCCCAGGGCAGAUGCAGCCUACCAGAAUGCACAUAAUUCUUACAGGUGUUUCCAUGGGAUUUGUACAGAGCGCAUCUUUUGAGGAGCCCCUUGGAAAGGGAAAAAUGUGAGGUCACUGUGUUGAUCUUCUAAAGUAGAGAAUAACUUCUGUUUUAUGAAGAUGCUAUGCUUACCAAACAGUGGCACUGCUGGGGGAAGUGGUGUACAAAAACCUGAGGUUUCAAAGGAAGCAAUGGCAAAUUUCACAUCCAUCUGGUAAAAAGAAACAAUGAUUUGCAGCAGUGUGGAUAUGAGGCACGCUGGGAUCUGAGCAGGUGGAGCACACAGCUCCUCGGCAGGUCUCUGAGCUCUCAGGCUCCUGUGGGUUACAAUGUCAUAUUGCAGGAUAUUUCUCCUGCCAGACACUAUGUGGUUCUUAGACAUUAUUCUUUUUCCUCACAGCAGGAGAGAUCAGAUCAGAAAGUGAUGUUACGAUCACAGUCUCAAUCAUAGAUCAUAAUAAAUAAAUGGCAUGUCGAAUAUUUUCCCUUCAAAGACUACAAAUAUUAUUUUCUUUGCGUUUCAGUUAUACCUGACCACUGUUGACUAUUGGAAGUCAACAACCUUCACUACAGUCUCGCACAGAGUGAAGAAAAGUGGCAGCAGCCGUGCUACCCACACCUGCCUUGCACAGUCAUUCCUGUACUUCGUCUGGAGCUGCCUUGUCUGCAGGGUUUAAGCAUACCCAGUGUUAUGACUUCCUGAAAGAUGUAGUUCUGUUGAAUGGCUUGAAUAGAAAAAGUGCUGACUUUAACAGAAACUGCACUUUUUUCCCCCCAGUUUUCUGUAACAUUUCCUUAUCCAUCUUUCCUCAGUGUAGGGACUGAUAUUUCUGGACAGAAAGCCUUACACAACCAAGUCCAUAACUGCAACGGGCUGGAGUUGAAUGAAGAUCACAGGUUUGCCUAAAAGCAACAUUUCCCCCAUCUGUGAUGUGUGGCCUAGAUUAUUGCAGAUAGAGUGAAGUCUGCUAUUGUACAUCUCUGAACUUCUUUGCAAGAGGUCCACUUGGGAAGUUUUGCUCUUCACCACCCUAGAAAUGUGUAAAUGUUUAUUACUAGCAAGCUGCAGUUCAUGGUUUAUCUUGUGGUUAACAGGGUUUAACUUGUGAUACCAGGUUAGCAGUAUUUGAUGGGAAGGGGCAGGUGGAUUGCUGCUUGAGGGUGGCUGGGAUUUCCCUCUUCUUGCACUGGGUGCACCUCAAGUCUGGAGGGGCUAGAUGGACAAGUGCUCCUUUUCAGCCCUUGACAAGGUAGUGUUCUCAUGUUUUCGAAUGCAAUGAUCACCAGAAUUGCUCAAUGUUGUACAAGAGUGGGACCUCAUGAAAGCCAUGGCCCGAAGCAACGACUAAUUAAUGUUAUCUCAGCACUGCUAUAUGUGUGUGUCUUCCACACUGCUUGCCAGCUCACUUGUUGAGAGUGAGAAGGACGUAUGAGAGCAUGAGAAAUCAAACCUAGUUUGUGACUAAUAGAUCUGAUAGGGAUCCCUAAGUAGUGAUCAUACAGCAGAUUGAGAUCCCUCUCAGGAGUUUAAGAGCAUGAACAUUAAAAAUAGCCUUACUCUUCGUGGUCUCCUGAUUGAAAUUCUUCUGACGGUAAGCCAAGAAAGCUGUUACUAAUUUAAUGCAAGACUAUUUAAUAGCAGAAAUUUCAUCUGCCUCGCACCUGUAUGCUAUGGAAGUCUAAAACACAUUGUAGCUAGAAAAUGGGUGUUUAUCUCUUUCCUUCUGAGCCAAUGCCACUGAAAGGAGCUGAUUCCAGCUAAGGAGCACUGGGUUGAAUAUAAAUUAGUAUACUGCGAAAAACAUCACUCAAACUGUCUGCAUUGAGAUGUUUUUGGAUCUCUGCAGAAUAUGCUGCUUCCAUUGCAGUUUAAAACACUUUUCCAUGCUAUAAUCAUCUCUUUGUUGUUGUUCCCUGUUUAAGGCAAUUUGGUCACUGUUACAGAAGGUUUGUGAAGAUGUGAAACUGCUGACAUAGAGCAAGCCUGAAAGGGAAGCCACAGCUUGCAAUCUCUAUCGUCUCAGAACCCAAACGCAAGUUUUCAAGGCAGUGCCAUGCAUGUAGCCAGAUGGAAGCAUCAAAGCCCAUUGCCCUUGAGCCCAUUUGUUCCCAUCCUGCAUUGGCAGCGCCCUGUGGGCACAUUAAGUUCCUCAGCUCCAAGAGAAAGAAGCCAGAGCCUGUUGCUGUCCACAAAGAACAUCUCCUGUGCUCAUUUGCUGCUAGGUUGAUGAGCAAAACUGCCUUGAAAGAAGCAGACAUAAAAUAAGAGGUUGGAGUGGCUGCCUCUGUAGGUGGGGGAAAUACAACCCGACAGUGCCAUCUUGAGGAAGUGGACAAGAGGCAUCAAGGUGGGUUUUUGUUCUUGUGAUUCUCCCUCUCUCUCGAUAUAGAGAUGUAUAUGUAUAUCACAUUUUGUUCUGGCUGCCUGCCACUGGCAAGUGUGUUUACACUCAAGUUAGAGUGAACAAAUGGCUUCGGAAGUAAAAUUGCACUUCGUGUGCAUAUAAUGAUGCCACUUACAAUGAUAACCUUCCAGCUUUCUGCUGCAAACCAAGUUCUAGAGGUUUAUUUGUGAUAUUGAAAAGGUCUAUUCCCUUUAUCACAAGUGCAUUCUUAUAAACAGCCUGUAUUGAAAAGCCUUUCAAUAUGAAGAGAAUCAAGAAGGCAAUCUGCAGGAAAGUAAAAAACCCCAAACAAAUGAGAAGAACCUCUCAAAUUGCCAAACAGUAGUGGAGUGGCUGAAACUGCCACGCAACCAAAGACAGGCAUUUUCUGAACAAAGAGUUAAGCAACAACAACGACAAAAAUCUUAUGGAACAGAAGUAACUUUACCAGGUUGAUCUCUCUUAGGGUGGUUGCUAAGGCCAAGACACUUGUAGAGUGAUUGUUCCAAGGCAGAUGGAAAACUCAUGAAGGUAGGCCAUUGGAUAGGAAUUUAAUUGUAUUCUUGCCUUGAAGUCUUGUGUUUUGUACUCCUCGCUGACCACAAGGGUUAAUUUGUAUAAACACACCUUGAGUGACAUAUCUUGGUCUUAGCAGAAAGGGACUUCAGAUUCUUAGAGCGGUCCUUCAUGGACCUGUGCUCAUCAGCCAUCAGUGUAGUCAAAGCAAGUCAGACAGCUGGAAAUUCUUUCUCCAGUGUUGCUCCUGUGAUGCUUAAAUUUUCUAGGCCAGAGGAAGAAGUUCCUUUGCAAACCAUUUCACUGAGUCUAAACCUACAAUUGGGAUUGUUCUUAAGCACCAAGAUAUACAGUGGCAGCUGUGCAGAUACUCCUACAAUUCUGCCUUAGUUUUGGCAUGGUGAGCUUGUUAGUCAGUCACUAGUGAAACAUAAAAGCUCAGCUUGCUCAUCACUUCAGCCUUGGCAGAGUUUUCCUGGUGAAAUGAGAGCCAUCUGGAGUGCCCUGUGGUGCAUGGUACUAACAUUACACUGUACCUCUGCAAAUCUUAGCAUUCUGCUUUGUUUAACAAAACAAACAAACAAACAAACAAAAGCCUUAAACUGAAGUUAAUUUAACACCACAACACACAUCCUCACAGCUUUGACUUUCUGAAGGCAGCAGUUGUAUUCCUGUGUUUGCACAGCUAGCCAUGCAGCAUCUGUUACUUCUCUCUGAUCUCCCUUAGCAGUAGGUGGGAAUGCCAGCCUUCUGCAGCCUGAAGGAAGGGGCUCUACCCUUCUGCUUCUCAUUCAUCUCUGAUGACUUACAGUCAGAAAAUUGGUGCACAAAAGAGCAAAUUAACAAUUGUGUGAAAAAGCAGUUGAUUUUUCAGAUUUUUAUGUAAUCUUUGUACUCAUAGGAGCUAGAAUAACUCAUAACGCUGCAGAACAAAUGGAUGUAGUUUAUGAAUGAAUGAACAUAUUGCUUUAUAAUGAUAUUGCUUUAUGUUGUCACAUGUUACGAAAACUACUUUCUCUGUUCGCAGCCUCCUAGGUAUUUCAGAUGGUACUGACAAGUUUGAUGAAUGGUUUGGGAAAGGAAGAAUGCAAUGUGUCAUAAAGUUGUAUGCAUAGUUUUACAUGUGGGUUCUAGGUCUUAGAGCAGCUUGGAGAUGGAGCAUGACUAGAUAUGAAAUGGAAGGUUAUGUAGGAAAAAAAAAAAUCAAUAUAGUUAUAGAAUAAGCAAUUGUUUAAGGUUCUGGGGAGCAGCGUUCAGUCUUGCGUGCCUCUCCUAAAAAAAAUACAGAGAGGAAAAUACAGAACAGCCCAAUUCAAGACAGUAAAACAGGAACAAAUACAGUGAGAUACUUCGAAAUGCAGAAGUGGCUGAGCACAGAGUACAAAUGCUGAAGUGUGGAGAGCAUAAAUAGAUCUUCAAACACAUUCAUAGUAGCUAUUAAGACAAAGGAAGUAGGUAUUGCUAUAUCCUCACUGCAGAUCAGAAAAGAAAUAAUGGCUUUACACUGCAGCUGGAAAUGCUCUGCUCAGAAACUAAAAGAAACUCUUGUAGCUGAAGAUAGCUGAGCACCAGAAAUACCCCUUGCUGGGAGGUGUUAUUAAAAGAAAGUUAGACACAUUUCUGCUUGUUGUAACACGGGAAUGCUUCAGGUCGCCCUUUUUUAGAUUGCCUUUUCUUGCCUUUUCUGCAAGCCUGUGUUUUCACAUGCAAAAGACUGGGUUGAAUUAAAGGCAUUGCCCUGUAUAAUGUGACAGCUGCAUGUGUGUUAGUACUGAGGGUGCAAAGAAGACCCUAGCCAAUUAGGCUCCUUGAGUACCAAUCAGUGUAAUCCCAGUGACAUUAACUCUAACCUUUGUAUGAGUCCUCUUUAUUUUCUGCAGGUUGUCAGUAACCCUUUGACCAGUGACAUAUCAUUGGAUUUAAUUAUGCUAUGCCUAAUUUUGAAUGGAUUUGCCUCCUCAUCUCAGCCUUGGCUGUCAGCAGUCACCCUGCCCAUACACACCAUUACACUUUAUAAAAAGCAUCCAAAAAGUAGACGGAUACAGAAAAGGGGAGGGAGAAAGAAAGAAAGAAAAAAAGGAUGUGAUGAAGAAUUACUGCUAUUUUUCUUCAGAUACAUCUUUGCCACGUGUCAUUUGUAGACAAGAGUAUGUGCUACUGAAGAAGACCUUUCUGGGCUACUCUCAAGAAACUGAGGCUGUGCGCGCUGCCCGAAGAGAACGUGUUGUCCUGGAGGGUCCCUGAGAUCCUCUCUCUGCUGCCUGCUGCUCCCUGUGCUGAGCCCCAGGAUGGAGCAGCCUUGGUGGACUCCUGGUCCCGUUCACCCAGCUGUGGGAGUGCUGAAGGCUAAGGUUUGCAGACAGUUUUGUGUUUUUCGUAAGUGUGUUUCAGUCUGAAUCACAGUAAUACUCUUCUCUUCCACAGUUCUUGUCAACCAGUAAUUCUGAGAAAACCUGGCACGGUGACCCUUUGACCCCCAGAAUUUACAUCUGCCCUGUGGUGCAGGCACCUCUUGGCCAGGGGCUCCAUGACAGCCAUCCACUGCAAGUCCACCUACUCAGGUGAGGGGCUCAGCAAGCUCAGAGGUCCUGUUAUCAGUACCUUGAGUUGCUGUUUUGGGCAAACCCUUCCAACUUUCUGCUUCUAAGAUCUUGAGACCUGCUUCCAGGUCAAAGAGUAGCUUCUGGAGUAUUUGUGCACUGUCUGUCUAUGCAUUGCAAAUCAGCCUCUGAGAUUUACACCUUGCUACUGUAUUGUUGUAAUAGAGCUUGGCUUAAAUACUUCUCCUGUGGCUUCCCAUUCUCCCUCUUUGCAGAUCUUACAAACAGUUGUCGACCUAUUAGUACACCCAGCUAUUUGAUCCCUAAAUGGCAUCAUUUCCAUGUCACUUUUGUUGUUUGUUUCAACAGCAGCACUGGGUGAUUUGCUCCCUUCUGCUUGUGAUUCGUAUGUGUAAGCAGCUUUUUUGUUUAAGGAGAGAAUGUCUCCUGUUUAAAUACCUAUCACCUUGAUUUAUUGCUGAGAGCUAUUUGAUCUUUACACUUCCUGAGCUCUAAGACUUAUUUCUGUACUGAACAAUCACUUUUUCCUUCCUCCAUAAGCUCUGCCUGGUUUCUGACUUGAAGCUGAUCCGUAGCCAAACAGAGCCCUCCCCAGGGUGCUCACCCAUGCUUCUGGUACAGCUCUGCUAGCUCAGGUGUGCAAGGCCUGGCACAUGGCAGCAGGACAGGGCCUGGGGAAAGGUGAGGGAGGUACCAGCAUCCCUUCCCCACAUGCAGCAGGACACUGCAUUGCCCUGCUGCAUUCAGGCUCUGCAAGCUUCUUGCCCAGGGUCUUUCUUUCUCUGAUUUUCUGAUGGGAAGAGGAGACAUUGCAACAGUCGGUGUUGAUCAAAAUGAAACUAGGGUUUGGGAGCAGAAUGCAUCGGUGCUAUUUUUAGCAUGGGAAGCCUGUGAAACAGCAGUGUUAAUUGCAUCAGCCCCAUCUCAUGAGUGACCCUGGCUGCUGCCUGCUUCCCCUUUCUCUGUCCUCAGAGCCACACAGGAACCAACGGUGGCAGAUAACACACUCACAGGCUGCUUUGUGCUGUAACCCAGCUUUGACCCUCCAGCCACACCAACAUUGAGCACGAACACUGAAAGGUUCAGCUUGUUUCUCUCCAUCCCUUGGAAACUGCCGAGCAAUGCUUGUGUUUGGAUGUUCAAAUGUUAGUGCGAUUAACCUUUUGUUUGAAAUAGCAAUGUUCAUGCACCUCACUUUGUGCACCUGCUGGGGACACAGGUAUUUAGGUAGGGUUGGUUCCAAACAACGUGUGGUGUGCACAAACAGGUGCAGUGCCCUGCAAAACUAAGGGAUCCUGAAUGCGGUAGGUGUCUCAGUGAAUGCAGAUGUCAGAAUUAGUGGCUAUAAAUCAUAGAAUCAUAGAAUCCUUAGUGUUGGAAGGGACCUUUAAAGAUCGCCUAAUCCAACUUCCCUGCACUAAUAGGGGCAUCCAUCAGGUUGCCCAGGGGCCUUGCCUUGAGAGUCUCCAGAGUCAGGGCAUCCACCGUAUCUCUGGGCGACCUGUUCCUGUGUCUCACCACCCUUACUGUAAGACUUUUUCCUUAUAUGCAACCUAAAUCUCCUCCCCUUUAAGCUUGAAACCAU